UGGGGAAUAUUGGACAAUGGGCGAAAGCCUGAUCCAGCCAUGCCGCGUGUGUGAAGAAGGUCUUCGGAUUGUAAAGCACUUUAAGUUGGGAGGAAGGGCAUUAACCUAAUACGUUAGUGUUUUGACGUUACCGACAGAAUAAGCACCGGCUAACUCUGUGCCAGCAGCCGCGGUAAUACAGAGGGUGCAAGCGUUAAUCGGAAUUACUGGGCGUAAAGCGCGCGUAGGUGGUUUGUUAAGUUGGAUGUGAAAUCCCCGGGCUCAACCUGGGAACUGCAUUCAGAACUGACUGACUAGAGUAUGGUAGAGGGUGGUGGAAUUUCCUGUGUAGCGGUGAAAUGCGUAGAUAUAGGAAGGAACACCAGUGGCGAAGGCGACCACCUGGACUAAUACUGACACUGAGGUGCGAAAGCGUGGGGAGCAAACA
This 427-nucleotide ribosomal RNA is filed under the name uncultured bacterium. Its description in RNAcentral is "partial 16S ribosomal RNA". It matches the Rfam family "Bacterial small subunit ribosomal RNA", at positions 355 to 774 of the family's 1533-position model. The record is from RNAcentral.